UACAGAGGGUGCGAGCGUUAAUCGGAGUUACUGGGCGUAAAGGGCGCGUAGGCGGUUAUGCAAGUGAGAUGUGAAAGCCCUGGGCUUAACCUAGGAAUUGCAUUUUAAACUGUGUGACUGGAGUACAGUAGAGGGUGGCGGAAUUUCCGGUGUAGCGGUGAAAUGCGUAGAGAUCGGAAGGAACACCAGUGGCGAAGGCGGCCACCUGGACUGAUACUGACGCUGAGGCGCGAGAGCGUGGGGAGCAAACAGG
Molecule: ribosomal RNA, 253 nt
Filed under: uncultured bacterium
Lineage: Bacteria
Description: partial 16S ribosomal RNA
Rfam family: Bacterial small subunit ribosomal RNA
Source: RNAcentral